Molecule: ribosomal RNA, 538 nt
Filed under: Listeria seeligeri
Lineage: Bacteria; Bacillati; Bacillota; Bacilli; Caryophanales; Listeriaceae
Description: bacterial SSU rRNA
Rfam family: Bacterial small subunit ribosomal RNA
Source: RNAcentral
UUUAAAGAGAGUUUGAUCCUGGCUCAGGACGAACGCUGGCGGCGUGCCUAAUACAUGCAAGUCGAACGAACGGAGGAAGAGCUUGCUCUUCCAAAGUUAGUGGCGGACGGGUGAGUAACACGUGGGCAACCUGCCUGUAAGUUGGGGAUAACUCCGGGAAACCGGGGCUAAUACCGAAUGAUAAGGAGUGACGCAUGUCACUGCUUUGAAAGAUGGUUUCGGCUAUCGCUUACAGAUGGGCCCGCGGUGCAUUAGCUAGUUGGUAGGGUAAAGGCCUACCAAGGCAACGAUGCAUAGCCGACCUGAGAGGGUGAUCGGCCACACUGGGACUGAGACACGGCCCAGACUCCUACGGGAGGCAGCAGUAGGGAAUCUUCCGCAAUGGACGAAAGUCUGACGGAGCAACGCCGCGUGUAUGAAGAAGGUUUUCGGAUCGUAAAGUACUGUUGUUAGAGAAGAACAAGGAUAAGAGUAACUGCUUGUCCCUUGACGGUAUCUAACCAGAAAGCCACGGCUAACUACGUGCCAGCAGCCGCGG